GCCGGGGUGGCCGAGCGGACUAAGGCGGCACUAUCCCAACCCGUUAUUUCACGGGUUCGAAUCCCGUCCCCGGCU
This 75-nucleotide transfer RNA is filed under the name Candidatus Acidianus copahuensis. RNAcentral's name for it is "tRNA-Gly". It matches the Rfam family "tRNA". From Rfam's summary of the family: Transfer RNA (tRNA) molecules are approximately 80 nucleotides in length. Their secondary structure includes four short double-helical elements and three loops (D, anti-codon, and T loops). Lineage: Archaea; Thermoproteati; Thermoproteota; Thermoprotei; Sulfolobales; Sulfolobaceae. The record is from RNAcentral.